This 1444-nucleotide ribosomal RNA is filed under the name uncultured Bordetella sp. Its description in RNAcentral is "partial 16S-23S ribosomal RNA intergenic spacer". It matches the Rfam family "Bacterial small subunit ribosomal RNA". Lineage: Bacteria; Pseudomonadati; Pseudomonadota; Betaproteobacteria; Burkholderiales; Alcaligenaceae. The record is from RNAcentral.
GGUUCGAUUAUGGCUCAGAUUGAACGCUGGCGGGAUGCUUUACACAUGCAAGUCGAACGGCAGCACGCAGACUUCGGUCUGGUGGCGAGUGGCGAACGGGUGAGUAAUGUAUCGGAACGCCUAGUAGUGGGGAUAACUACGCGAAAGCGUAGCUACUACCGCAUUACUACCUCUCGGGAAAGCGGGGACCCUUCGGGCCUCGCACUAUUAGAGCGGCCGAUAUCGGGAUUAGCCACAGUGGGGUAACGGCUCGAUCAAGGCGACGAUCCGUAGCCGGUUUGAGAGAGGACGACCAGCCACACUGGGACUGGAGACACGGCCCAGACUCCUACGGGAGGCAGCAGUGGGGAAUUUCGACAAAUGGGAAACCCGAUCCAGCCAUCCUGGCGUGUGCGAUGAAGGCCUUCGGGUUGUAAAGCACUUUGGCAGGAAAGAAACGGCACGGAUAAUACUCCCGUAAAACUGACGGUACCUGCAGUAAUAAGCACCGGCUAACUACGCCAGCAGCCGUAAUACGUAGGUGCAAGCGUUAAUCGGAAUUACUGGGCGCAAAAGCGUGGCGCAGGCGGUUCGGAAAGAAAGAUGAAAUCCCAGAGCUUAACUUUUGAACCGUGACACCGAGCUAGAGUGUGUCAGAGGGAGGUGGAAUUCGCGUAGCAGAAAUGCAGAUAUGCGGAGAACACCGAUGGCGAAGGCAGCCUCCUGGGAUAACACUGACGCUCAUGCACGCGUGGGGAGCAAACAGGAUUAGAUACCCUGGUAGUCCACGCCCUAAACGAUGUCAACUAGCUGUUGGGGCCUUCGGGCCUUUGGUAGCAGCUAACGCGGCGAAGUUGACCGCCUGAGUACGGUCGCAAGAUUAAAACUCAAAGGAAUUGCCGGGGACCUGCACAAGCGGUGGAUGAUGGAUUAACGGAUGCACGCGAAAACCUUACCUACCCUUGACAUGUCUGGAACUUCGAAGAGAUUUGGGAGUGCUCGCAAGAGAACCGAACACAGGUGCUGCAUGGCUGUCGUCAGCUCGUGUCGUGAGAUGCGGUUGUCUCGCAACGAGCGCGAACCCUUGUCAUUAGUUGCUACGAAAGGGCACUCUAAUGAGACUGCCGGUGACAAACUGGUAUGUGGUCAAGUCCUCAUGGCCCUAUGGGUAGGGCUUCACACGUCAUACAAUGGUCGGGACAGAGGGUCGCCAACCCGCGAGUGGGCGCCAAUCCCAGAAACCCGAUCGUAGUCCGGAUCGCAGCCCGCAACCUUUCGACUGCGUGAAGUCGGAAUCGCCAGUAAUCGCGGAUCAGCAUGUCGCGGUGAAAUACGUUCCCGGGUCUUGUACACACCGCCCGUCACACCAUGGGAGCGUGGGUUUUACCAGAAGUAGUUAGGCCUAACUGUAAGGAGGGUGAUUACCACGGUAGAUUCAUGACUGGUGAAGUCGUAACAAAGGUAG